GAGCCGGUAGCUCAGCCAGGUAGAGCAACGGACUUUUAAUCCGUUGGCCGUGGGUUCGAAUCCCACCCGGCUCA
This 74-nucleotide transfer RNA is filed under the name Chloroflexota bacterium. RNAcentral's name for it is "Chloroflexi bacterium tRNA-Lys". It matches the Rfam family "tRNA". From Rfam's summary of the family: Transfer RNA (tRNA) molecules are approximately 80 nucleotides in length. The record is from RNAcentral. Lineage: Bacteria; Bacillati; Chloroflexota.